UCUCAGCACAGCCCGAGCAGGGACCUGCUCCUGCCCAUCCCCAUCCCUCCUUCUCCUGCAGCCCGCACCUCUCCGGGCGGCUCCGCUCAGCCCCACUGAGCUCAGGCCACUGUCCUGUCCUGCUGUCCCCACCGAAGGACCGAGAUGGUGGCCACCUGCCUGCACCUGGCUGGAUUUGUCUGCAGCUUUGUAGGGUGGAUUGGGGUGGUUGUGGCCACGGCCACCAACGACUGGGUGGUGACUUGCGGCUACACCAUUACCACCUGCAGGAAGAUGGACGAGCUGGGAUCCAAGGGGCUGUGGGCAGAUUGUGUGAUGGCAACGGGGCUCUAUCACUGCAAACCCCUCGUGGACAUCCUCAUACUGCCGGGGUACGUCCAAGCGUGUCGAGCGCUGAUGAUCGCCGCCUCCGUGCUGGGCCUUCCCGCCAUCUUCCUGCUGAUAACGGUGCUGCCCUGCAUCCGCAUGGGCCACGAGCCCGGGGCGGCCAAGUACCGGCGCUCCCAGCUGGGAGGGAUCCUCAUCAUCCUCCUGGGUAAGGCACAGCCACAGCCGGGGCUGCAGCGUGUCCCUGUCCCCGGGCGGCUCCUCCUGGAAGGGUUUCUGCAGGCCCUGGAGCUCUCCAGGGUGGGCAAAAGGCACGGGCAGCAGUGGGAGGACAAGGACAGGAGGCAGGGAUGAAGCAGAGUUAGAGGGAGGGAUGUGAAUCUCUCUGUCUUUGCCUUGUGGGGUUCUCAGGCACGGCUUCUCCUGGAAGGCCAUCGGAUCCAGCAGGCAUGGAUCGUGCUGGUUCACCCUGGAGGUGAUUUUUGGGAAAGGGUCUAAACUUCCAAGCUACUUAUAGAGAAGGCAGAGCCUCCAAAUUUUCCCUGGACAUCCAGGGCAAGUAAGCUGAGGCAUGGAUGGUGCUGGCUCACUGUAGCAUGAUUUUUUGGAAAGGAUCUAAACUUUCAAUUUACUUAUGGGGAAGGCAGAGCCUCCCAAUUUUCCCUGGACAUCCAGGGCAAGUAAGCUGAGGCAUGUGGGAAGGGAAGCCCUUACUGAACGGGGCUGGUCCUGUGGAAACCACGAGGGAAGGAGCGUGGAGGUGGCACAGACAUGGGAAGAGGGAUGGCACUGGCACGGCAGGAGGACUGGCGUGCCCUCUGUGCCUCCCAACCCCCUCUGGCCAGCCUCGCCCUUGGCCUCCAAGCUCCCCUGGGAAUUUCUUCCCGUCCUCGGUGCUUGUGGAGGAGAUUGUUUUGAGCAGCUCAGACUGUGGAGCUCAUUGUCCCCCAUGCAACACCUGCAUGUUCUUGAGGCCUCGUCAUCUCAGCAACAGCCUGUGGGGCCUUGUUGUCACCCGUCUGUGGCAGAGGAGGAGGGGAGAGGCAAAGUGACCUCUUUGUGUGGCUCUGCUGCUCGCUGGCAGCCAGCACUGACAUCAUGCCCGUCUUCUUUCUUCUUCUUCUUCUUUUUUUUCAAGUGGGCGCUGAAUAUAGCUGCACACUCGGAAGGGCUGUCCUCUGGAUGCUCCUUCCAUGCAAGUCAUCCCACCUCCAUCACCUUGUGGUUAGCACAAGUCCACACAUCCCAAAUCUGAGGGAUUGAGUCCAAGGGGCCUGUGCAGUUUAAGAGCACAGCUGGAAGUCCUAACAUCAGCUUUAAAGGGCCAGUCCAGAACAUUCCAAUCAUGAACAGCCAUGCUGGAAUGUGAUCUUCAUCCCUGCCCUGGAACCUUGAGUCACAUAGUUGGGCUUGGAGAAGUGACAGAAAAGGUGGAGGUUUUCUCCCUGUGAAUGAAAUUUUAGUGCUGGAGGAGUCUGCUCUGCCCUGCCCAGGAUGGGGAGGCCCAGCAGAGCUGCACUUUGCCACAAAAGCCACAAGAUUUUGGUUCCAGUCAAGGAGAGCUAUGCUGCAGGUCAGCCCUCCUUGCAUGGCUGCAGGUGUGGGGGCAGGAGGACUGUCCCUAAAAAUCCCAGAGGGAAAGAGGAUGACAGGACCAAAGGCAGCAAAUUCCAGUGACACUGUUGGGUACCACUGUAUUAGAACAAGUGAAAUCCUUUGUGCUGCAGUGUCCCACCAGGGUUUGGUGUCUGGUGUGCCACUAUCCCAUCCCAUCACGCUGCAGUGGGACACCAGGGAGGAGAGCAGGUGUGAGGGGAUGAUGGAGAGUUGUGGUGCUGCACAAACCAGGUCCCCCUCUGCCUCAGCACACGGCUUUCCAGCUAGGCAGAUCCUGUGAGGAAAGGAAGCCUGAGAGAUCACAUCUCUCACAUUUGUGUCAUGGAGACAUUGGCAGACAAAUUAUCUUUGGGUCAGAUUUAGACCAUAUCUUAUUGAUUUUCACUCCUGUGAGCUCUCAAGCACCUACAGGUGAAAGAUUUACUGGUGUUGCUGAUGCCCUGAAUGAUCUGGGCUGGGAUCAGCAGCCUGGUCACAAUGUUUUAGUCACAAUUACAAUAAUGCUCUUUUUGUCAGAUCAAAAAUGAAGAAUAAAUAAGCUUCUUUUGCUCCUAGGUUGCUUUUUUUAAAUAAAGGAAAGAGGAAACCAACCCACAUUUAUAUUUACGAAGCCCAUUUUUUUCCAGGCCCAUCAGCAAGACAGUCCCUUUGGAAGAAGAAUAAUGUACAGAGUUUAGGACUUUGACAUUAUUUAAGCUGAUUAAUGAUCUGUUAGCUGCAAGAUGAGGUGUCAGCAUUCCAGAGCAGUUAACAAGCAUGGAUCAGGCUCUGGAAGAUACAACACUGAGUUAAAAUCCAUUAUAUUCUAGAAGUAGCAUGCCCUGGACUGUUUUUAUUCACCCUCCAGCCACUGAACUCUCACUCAUGGUUUCCACAACCUCACAGGCUCCAGACUUUUCCUCUUAGGGGAGAGCAACAUCCAGAGCUCUGGUUAAAAGAAAAUGGCCCCCAAAACACUCCUUAAUGCAGCAGAAAUAGGGAGUGGGGAUGCAAAUAGGGAAGCUGGCCCCAAGGCAAACUUCACUUGCUGCUCAGGGAAGGGAUGGCAGUUUGUCACUGAAAUUUGGUAUAAGGGAAAACAGGGAUUGAAACACAGCACAGAGCCAAAAAGAAAAUAAAAGAAUAAAUACAUAUAGAAAAAACUGAAAAGUUGCCAGGAAAAUAAUGGGCUCAGAUAUUCCAUUGAUUUUUCUGUCCACUGAUAAUCACAGGCUGCCUGAGUGCAACCUGUGUGCACGCCCUGCUGUUUUGCUGCUGAUGUGUUUAUGGCUUUGUUUGAUCCUAUCUGACCAAGAGAAUUGAUUUAUGGCUGAAAACAGCCGUCAGCAGAGGUUUGCUCUGAGCUGGUGUGAAAAUAUUUCACACUAUGGUGUUGAUGGAAAAUCCCUGGCCCAGCCCGUGUUGUUGAUACUAAUUUGGAGGACCACUUGCUGGUAACCGAGGGGACAUUUUCCCAGUGGAGGAGAGGGACCCAGACACUGGAAAAUAGAUGAAAUAUAUGUUAGUGGGAAUUGCUACUAUAAAAUAAGCCAUUGGGUACUAAGUAAAGGGUGUUAAUGAGUUUUCCUGAAGACUGCCUGAGGUUUACUUGUAAAACCAUAGUUAUUAAGAUAAAAAGACUGCCUUGAAUGCAGAAAAAAAAAUGUUAUCUAUUUUAUUCAACUAAAUGCUUUGAAAGAGAAAUCCAUGUGACUUUGAGUCAGCAAUUCGGAAUAGUUAAAUUUAGAUGUGAAAGAAAAGUAUUCUUUCUUCUGCAAAAAGCCUUUAACUUACUGUUAAGGAAUUUGGCAGGGACUCACUGUCCCUUGGGUUAGAACAAUCCUGUUCCCUCUCUCCCAGCUCCCCAAGCACCUUCUGUGCUUCUUGUCUCUGUGCACGUCCUUCUGACUCCAACACAUCUCUGAUGUUGAGUAUUAAGGGUUUCAGCUCAGCAGACUGAGCUACUGCAAAUCCACACUUAAAAAAGACUUGGAAACACUGGGAGCUGGGAUGUGUCCCUGUGGAUUCACAGCAAUCUGAUGGAGCAAGGACAUUCAUGCCAUGCAGUGCUGAGAGGGUUUUUUAGGAUGAGGCAGUGGCUUUUACAAGAUUGCCUACUCCAGCUGCAAAAAGCAGGCAGGAUUUCCACACAUGUGCCCCAAACCAGGCUUGUUUUCCCAACUGAAUUGGCUGCUCUAAUAGAAAAUAUUCCUUCUCUUUGCAGACCGUCUUUUAUUUUUCUGCUAGACUAUAUUGGCUGCAGCAGCUCUACUGUCUGAAGAUUUCUCGUGUAGAGAGAGGCAAAGGAUGUCCUGACAUUAGCGCAAGAGAAGGGAAAACAAUUUCUAUCUACACUUCUUUUCCAUGUAGGCAGCCAUUUUAGAACUUGAAAGUCGCCCUAAAACCCCCUUUCCAAUCUCUUUGGAAAAGGUUUCCUGUCAAAUCUUUUUGGUUUCUUGUCAAAUCACCUUUUUUUUUUUCAGCCUUUCCCUGUGGUACAACCAGAAUAAAAUUUGAGCCCACAGAGAGACAUUGCAAUUGCUGACUGUCCUUUUCCCAUCCCCUCGGAGGAUUUACAGCCCAGCCUAAUCUAUGCAGAGCGAUGAAGCCCAGUCCUGUUCCAGGGCAUUCCUCUUGCUCAGCAACGGGGUCACUGGUGACUGAUGGCAGCUGGUGGCCUCCGAGGACAGAGAGGUCGAGUGAACCCAUGCAAAGUCCUUGGCUUGUGUUUCUGGCAUUGUCAGCAUUAAAAUAAGGUGUUUUACAUGUAGUGGAACCACAUGCACAAGAGAAGCCAUUGUGUGAGCAUCCCUGAGAGCUCUUCUCACCCCAGUGCAAGUGUUUUCUUCGGUCCUGUCUUGUGGGGGAGGGUCUGGAGAGAUAAGGGUCUUAUAGUCUAUAGACAAAUAUAUAUAUAUAUUUACUGCUGACAGAGAAAGAAAAGAUGAUUGUGUUUUUUCGGACAACAAAGCAGUUUUGUUUGCAGAGCCCAUUAGAAUGCUUUGUGGAUUCCCAACUGAUACAUUUUUGUUUUAAAGCGUUGGAGGUUCAUGAGCUGUUUGCAGGACCACUCCACAUGCAGGAGAAAUGCUCUUCUCCCCUCCCUGCUUUCUCCAAAAUUCCUUCCAAAGCUGCGGGGCCCUUCCUUUGAGGAGGCCCAAAAUUAUUUCUGGCUUUAUAAGCAUCCUUCAAAUGUUCUUCUCUUUUCCAUAAGAAAAUAUUUUCUCUCACAAUAACUACAGCUUUGGGGAUGGGUUUUUUGCUGUACCGGCCAGGAGCUACGGUUUGUUCUCUGCUUUAACUAAACAAUUUUAUUUUUACUCUCACCCCUUUCUUUUUCCCUCUUGCAACCUUAACUUUCUGACACUGCCUCCAGAUACCUUUUAACACGGUCGGUGGAAAUCUGUAACGCUGCCAUGGUCCUGUUAUUGUUUUGCUCUGAUUCUCUGAUAGCCACAAGGAUGGAGUCCUGCACAGCUUGUCCCGGAGGCAAGUAAAUAUUGACAGAUUAAUUCUUCUCAGAUGUACAGGCCAUCAAGGAGUAUUGUUUUAGGACCUGCUCCUGGGAGGUGAUUAACACCAUCAACUCCCGUUGCCCUCAGUGCAUGUGGGGACUCUGUGGGGACUGUCUCCCUCACAUGUCACCUCACAGCACCACUGCAGCUGCCUUCUGGCUUUUUGUGGAAAAACCCCCUCUGGAAUAUCAAGUAAAAAGUGAAGCCUGCAGUCAUUUUUUGACCCACUGUAGUCCUUAGGUAGGAUCCUGUUUUCUCUUCUGCAGACUCUUCAGGUCCCGUUUUUAUUCAAUUCAGUAAAUAUCUGGAGAGCCUUGCUGGGUUUGUCCCCAUCACAUGAUAGAAAUUUUCCACAUGGAAGUAGAAUCUGUUUUCCAGAGCUGUGAGACAUUUCCUUUUCCAUGAAAAAACCCCAGCAAUGCCUAACUGCUGCUUAUUUUGUCCCUGCUCAUUUUCUGCUCGUAUUUCAUAAACCCUACUCUGCCUUAGAGUGCUGGGAGAUUUUGGUGAAGUUUAUGUGACCCAGUAGAGCCACUGCAAUGAUGAGGAGGGACAUGGGCUGAGGACACAGCAGGUGAGUCCAUGUGGAAAUAGGGAUUUACAGCAGUUCACACAGGUCCACAGAUUUUAUUCUCUCAUUGAUCCAUAUGGUUUUCAUGGCCUCUUCAUAUCUAAUCUAUUCCUAAUUCUGCACUUCUCCACAACAUCAGUUUCAGGGAUGACUCUCAUUUUUUCCCUCUUGACGAUAUUUUUAGGGAACAAAUCUGUUUCCCUUCUAAUAAAUAUAUUAUGUUGUGUCAGGCAGCUGUUGUUUUUCCUUCCUGAGAGAGAUGGCUGUUCUCUCUCCAUCUCUCACUCCUGAGGCUCCCAUGUUCCCUCCUGCUUGGAGAUCUCCUGGACCCAGCGCUGAUGCCGCUUCUUCUGGGGUGGGACUGGAAGGGAGGAGGGAUGGGUUUCCUCUCCAUCCCUAGACACGUGUGACGCUCUGCUGUCACUCCCUCCAGGCCAGAACCCUAACGCUGUCCUUCCCCCGUCCCCAGCCAUGUGCGGCGUCGUGGCGACCAUCUGGUUCCCGGUGUGCGCCCACCGCGAGACCACCAUCAUGAGCUUCGGCUACUCGCUGUACACGGGCUGGAUCGGCUCUGCCCUCUGCCUCUUUGGAGGCUGUGUCAUCGUCUGCUGCUCAGGAGACGCUCAGACCUUCGGGGAGAACCGCUUCUACUACGGCUCAGGAUCCAGCUCGCCCACCCACGCCAAGAGCGCCCACGUGUAGACGCCCCGGGGACGCCCCACGGCUGCCGUCCGAUGCUUUGGCUGGUGGGUUCGUGCGCCCUGGGUUUGCUUCUGCUGACACACGCGGCUGUCAGGCUCCCAGGGAGAGAUUUAGAAAAGCAGCACAAAUGUCUGGUAGUUUGAAGCAUUAUUCUCCCCAUCUCUUCCCCCUUUUCUCUAGAAAGACAGCUCCAGCCAGCCCUACCUCUUGGUCCUCACCGGUUUGUCCCGACCACCUGCCCCCAGCUUCUUGCAGCCAGGGUGGUUUGGGGUUGUGGUGUGGGGUUUAGGGAUUUUAGUUUAUCUUCUUGCUCCCCUGAUUAUAGGAGAGUUUAAAGCAAUAAAACAGAAAUGAGAGAGACACUUUCCCAUUGUUAGGAGGACUCUGACAGCUUCUCCCCCAUCCUCACUGUUUGAUUUCUCCCACUCAAGGUCACGGGUCUGGCAUGGCUAGGGAGAGAGGAUAGGGAGAAAGGCUGUCCUCUCCCACAGGGCAAAUGUUUCUCUUUUGGAACAAGAGGAGGGGAUUUUUCUGCCUUUCUCUGUAAAUACUUUUGUAUGAGUCUGAUCAUUUCAGUAACAGUGUUUCCCCUACCCCCACAGUCAUCAGUAUGAAGGAAACAGAACCCAAAGGUCCUAAUGACAUGAUAGAUAACAGUGCCUUUUUAAAUAGUUAUAAAUGACUUUGGGGGCUCUAAUCCCUGCCCUCUGCUUCAGUUUCUUUUUUUUUUUUCUUUUGUACAGAUCAGUUACUAAAAAGUGUAUUUUUACAUUUUUUUAAACUCCUUUCUUUCUUCCUCUAAGUUUGUGUUCUGUCUUGCCUCGUUAAAGCAGCACAUUUUAACAUGCGGUAUAAUGUACCUGUUACAAUACAAUUCUGGUGAGUACUGAUGAUGCCUUUGUACUUUCAGUGAAAUACUGUACAAUAAAUAACAGAGUACCUGCAA
RNAcentral lists this long non-coding RNA (7657 nucleotides) under Taeniopygia guttata (zebra finch). RNAcentral describes it as "lncRNA (ENSTGUG00000021560.1)". Lineage: Eukaryota; Metazoa; Chordata; Aves; Passeriformes; Estrildidae. The record is from RNAcentral.